Long non-coding RNA from Homo sapiens (human), 503 nucleotides. Ensembl annotates it as ADAM7 antisense RNA 2. Its record names the gene ADAM7-AS2. Lineage: Eukaryota; Metazoa; Chordata; Mammalia; Primates; Hominidae. The record is from Ensembl.
GAAGACUGCAGUAGGUAAUGAUAGCUUAAACUUGGGAAAUGUCCUUCUUCAGAGACAGCGUCACGGACAUUUUGGAGAGGAUCAGAUUACUCUACAGCUGCUUUCCCUGGUGGACCUGAGGAGGCACACCCCUGAGCCAGGACUUUAAGGGAGAGGGUAGAACAACCUAGAAGCUCAGAAGGGAUAUGGUUCCUGUUUGCCUAUUUCCAUCCACAACUCUGCCAGAGACGAAAGCAGUGUUUGAAACAAUUCACCAAGAUUUCCAUCUGGAAUCAUCAAGAAUGGAAUUGAUCAAAUUCCUUAAGAAAUUUACUUAAAGUCAUGAUUUUGACAGCCUAGUGCUACCUGGAAAAGGGACAGCAGCAGCCUGGAGCAGUUUUCUAGCUAACAAGAAUUUUGUUAGCUAUGUGGCCACCUAGUGGCUCUUCCAUGGAUGUCGCUGAUGCAUUGUCAGGUACACAGACAAUUGCCCACUAAUAAAGAAGUUAUUAUCUUUCUUGGAA